This 510-nucleotide ribosomal RNA is filed under the name uncultured bacterium. Its description in RNAcentral is "bacterial SSU rRNA". It matches the Rfam family "Bacterial small subunit ribosomal RNA", at positions 15 to 518 of the family's 1533-position model. The record is from RNAcentral.
GAUCAUGGCUCAGGACGAACGCUGGCGGCGUGCCUAAUACAUGCAAGUCGAGCGAGUCUCUUCGGAGGCUAGCGGCGGACGGGUGAGUAACACGUAGGCAACCUGCCUCUCAGACUGGGAUAACAUAGGGAAACUUAUGCUAAUACCGGAUAGGUUUUUGGACCGCAUGGUCCGAAAAGAAAAGAUGGCUUCGGCUAUCACUGGGAGAUGGGCCUGCGGCGCAUUAGCUAGUUGGUGGGGUAACGGCCUACCAAGGCGACGAUGCGUAGCCGACCUGAGAGGGUGACCGGCCACACUGGGACUGAGACACGGCCCAGACUCCUACGGGAGGCAGCAGUAGGGAAUUUUCCACAAUGGACGAAAGUCUGAUGGAGCAACGCCGCCGUGAACGAUGAAGGUCUUCGGAUUGUAAAGUUCUGUUGUUAGGGACGAAUAAGUACCGUUCGAAUAGGGCGGUACCUUGACGGUACCUGACGAGAAAGCCACGGCUAACUACGUGCCAGCCGCCGC